AAUGAACGCUGGCGGCGCGCCUAAUACAUGCAAGUCGAGCGAGAAGACGUAGCAAUACGUUUGUAAAGCGGCGAACGGGUGAGGAAUACAUGGGUAACCUACCCUCGAGUGGGGAAUAACUAGCCGAAAGGUUAGCUAAUACCGCGUACGCUCCUUGGACUUCGGUUCAGGGAGGAAAGCGAUACCGUGGGUAUCGCGCUCUUGGAUGGGCUCAUGUCCUAUCAGCUUGUUGGUGAGGAACGGCUCACCAAGGCUUCGACGGGUAGCUGGUCUGAGAGGACGAUCAGCCACACUGGCACUGCGACACGGGCCAGACUCCUACGGGAGGCAGCAGUAAGGAAUAUUGCGCAAUGGGCGAAAGCCUGACGCAGCGACGCCGCGUGGGGGAUGAAGGUCUUCGGAUUGUAAACCCCUUUCGGG
This 420-nucleotide ribosomal RNA is filed under the name uncultured bacterium. Its description in RNAcentral is "bacterial SSU rRNA". It matches the Rfam family "Bacterial small subunit ribosomal RNA", at positions 29 to 440 of the family's 1533-position model. The record is from RNAcentral.